UGCUAUUUCCAAGCCUCUGAGUUAUUGCCACUUUGAGUACGCAAAGUUCUGAGAUGACUUGAUUGUUGAGAACUGGUGACCAAGCUUGGAAAAAUGAAGUAGUUUGUGAGAUCAAUUUUGAACUUGCAUCUUGUGAUCAAGAUGAUUGUGAGGUUGUGAGGAAAGUAGGGGGAGGAAAAUACAACAAGGUCUUUGAAGGUAUUAAUCUCAAUACCAAUGAGCGAUGCAUAAUCAAAAUCCUCAAGCC
Rosa rugosa (rugosa rose) is the source of this 247-nucleotide long non-coding RNA. RefSeq lists it as uncharacterized. The transcript has 3 exons. The record is from RefSeq and is a predicted model, not a curated record. NCBI's taxonomy places the organism in Eukaryota, Viridiplantae, Streptophyta, Magnoliopsida, Rosales, Rosaceae.